Molecule: long non-coding RNA, 1061 nt
Organism: Selaginella moellendorffii
Lineage: Eukaryota; Viridiplantae; Streptophyta; Lycopodiopsida; Selaginellales; Selaginellaceae
Exons: 3
Source: RefSeq, a predicted model, not a curated record
CCUCGAUGAUGAGGGGCGGGUAUGAGUUGCUGUUUCGAUUCACCUCUUGAUCCGGAGGGGUCUUGAGAGCAGCUGGGAUGUAUGGAGCAUGCAUGCUGGCUGCUUCCGGGACGUUUGGAGGCAGGUGCAUCAUCUGCUGGGCCUGUUGCUGCUGCUGCUGGAGUAGCGGUGGUAUCGACUGGUUGAAUUGCAUCGGCUGGAAGGCUUGCGGACUUUGCAUGAGCUGCUUUGGAGUAGCAUCAAUGGUCCUCAUUUCUUGGAGGAUGGAGCUGUAGUAACCAGGUUGGAUGACAGGAGGCGGUGGAGUUACUGCCGCGGAGCCCCCGGCUUUUUGCUGGAGUUGGAGCCAGUGAUCCAUCCCACUGAGCCCAGGAAAGUUCAUAUUUUGCAUGCUAAACUUGCCUUCUUCUCCUCUGGCCCAGAUCGAGGGAGCCUUCAUCUGGAGCUCCUCCUCUGCGAGAGAGAGAGAGUGUUAAGCACACCGGAGAAAGCUCUCACUUACCAGUACCUCUCGGACGCUUGGACCUCAACAAAAACGAAGAGUUGCAGAGAAGAAAAGCGGUAGAUUCGUCCCAGCCGACCUGAGAGGACAAAGAAAAGUGAGAAGACUCAUCUUGCUUCGGUAAAGCUCUCACCUUGAGAGAUCUCCAGUGGGAGUUUGGCCAUCUUACGGGAUCCAAAUCUCCUAUACCAGUGAUUGUUCCCAUGUACCUAUGGAUCAAACGGUCAGUUGCGGAGGAUGCAGUGCUUUCUGAUACUUCGCCAGUGGAAUGACAAACUCCGAGGGGCUCGCCCUGCGAAGAACGCCUCAGCCAGCUCCAAAACAGGAAGAGAAUAAAGCUACCUCGGAUUAUAGAAGAUCGUGAAGCGGCUGUUGGUGGAUGCUGCGUGAGCAGCCGCGGCAAGAACACCGAUGAGCAUGCUGUCGCUCGACAAGAGAGAUGUCGGGAGAUUCGUUUGCUGCCGGUUUGCCCGUCGAAUUCCCAGCAUGUGUUGUCCCUGCUCGUCCCUGCAAGAAAAUCUCAAGCUCUAUAAAAUGGAACGAGUUUUUUCUACCUCAA